AGAAUUAUAGCUUAAUCUGGUAAAGCAGUCCACUCAUAAUGGACCUAUCAAAGUUCAAUUCUUUGUUAUUCUA
This 73-nucleotide transfer RNA is filed under the name Waltiozyma pijperi. RNAcentral describes it as "Pichia pijperi tRNA". It matches the Rfam family "tRNA". From Rfam's summary of the family: Transfer RNA (tRNA) molecules are approximately 80 nucleotides in length. Their secondary structure includes four short double-helical elements and three loops (D, anti-codon, and T loops). Further hydrogen bonds mediate the characteristic L-shaped molecular structure. tRNAs have two regions of fundamental functional importance: the anti-codon, which is responsible for specific mRNA codon recognition, and the 3' end, to which the tRNAs corresponding amino acid is attached (by aminoacyl-tRNA synthetases). tRNAs cope with the degeneracy of the genetic code in two manners: having more than one tRNA (with a specific anti-codon) for a particular amino acid; and 'wobble' base-pairing, i.e. permitting non-standard base-pairing at the 3rd anti-codon position. Lineage: Eukaryota; Fungi; Ascomycota; Saccharomycetes; Phaffomycetales; Wickerhamomycetaceae. The record is from Rfam by way of RNAcentral.